GGGAGCGUGAACGGGCUGAGCUAUGGAAGAAGCCGCUCUGACAGUAUGGACGACAGUGACGUAAAGAGAGCCGAAGAUGCGUGAGGAGGUCACAACGCACCCGCACGUCACCUGCUGCCACCAGAUCCGACCAGACAGGUCCUCACCUGAGACUGAAUCUGAAUAUUAACAAACUUGACACUGAGGGAUACAGCUAAACCAGUUUCCAGGAUAUCAAACUCCCCACAGCUGACAGCGCUCAACCUGGCGAAGGAACAGACAUAAUGGUCAUGUAACACCGAGCAGAAAGGGUUAAUAUGACGCCUCUCCGCAUUACUGCUCCACGAGAUGAACUUGAAGAGUUCAAAUAAAGGGCUGAUGACUGGGAACUCCGAGCCAAGUACUAAUGAAGACACAGAUGAGGCCUGACACCAGAGAACACUACCUGCUAAUCCUCAGCUACAGAACCAACACACUACACUGAACUCAGCACAACUACAACACCUCCACUACACCGAACACAUCACCACUGCAACACCACCACUACACCGAACACAUCACCAC
Long non-coding RNA from Hyla sarda, 543 nucleotides. RefSeq lists it as uncharacterized. Lineage: Eukaryota; Metazoa; Chordata; Amphibia; Anura; Hylidae. The record is from RefSeq and is a predicted model, not a curated record. The transcript is spliced from 3 exons.